Molecule: ribosomal RNA, 860 nt
Filed under: uncultured marine bacterium
Lineage: Bacteria
Description: bacterial SSU rRNA
Rfam family: Bacterial small subunit ribosomal RNA
Source: RNAcentral
UUUUGGGGCGAUGGGGCUAACUGCAGUCAACGACCUUCGGGUUAGUGGCGGACGGGUGAAUAAGGGUCGUACUAAGCCUCAGGAGGGGGAAAANGGAUGGAAANGACCCCAUAUAGGGCGUAUGCNUAAUGGAGAAAAGAAUUUCGCCUGAGGAUGAGGUCGGGUCUGAUUACCUAGUUGGUGAGGUAAUGGCUCACCAAGGCUUCGAUCAUUAGCUGGUCUGAGAGGAUGAUCAGCCACACUGGGACUGAGACACGGCCCAAACUCCUACGGGAGGCAGCAGGGGGGAAUUUUCCGCAGUGGGGGAAAGCCUGACGGAUCAACGCCUCUGGAGGGACGAAGGCCUCUGGUGUGCAAACCUCUUUUCUCUGGGAAGAAGAUAUGACGGUACUUGAGGAAGAAGCCGCGGUUUUUUCCUUGUCAGCAGCCGCGUUAGUAUUGGAGUGGCAAGCGUCUUCCGGAAUUAUUGGGCGUAGAGCGUCCGCAGGCGGCUUUUCAAGUCUGCUGUUAAAGCGUGGAGCUUAACUCCAUCAUGGCAGUGGAAACUGAAAGGCUUGAGUAUGGUAGGGGCAUAGGGAAUUCCCGGUGUAACGGUGAAAUGCGUAGAUAUCUGGAAAAACACCAGUGGGGAAGGCGCUCUGCUGGGCCAUUACUGACGCUCAUGGACGAAAGCGAGGGGAGCCAACGGGAUUAUAUACCCCUGUAGUCGUGGGCGUAAACAAUGAACACUACGUGUCGGGGGAAUCGACCCCUUCGGUGUGGGACCUAACGCGUUAAGUGUCCCGCCUGGGGAUUACGCACGCGAGUGUGAAACUAAUGGAUUUGAUGGCUCCCCGCAAUUCGGUGGAGAAUGUGGUUAU